Molecule: non-coding RNA, 1245 nt
Filed under: Ricinus communis (castor bean)
Lineage: Eukaryota; Viridiplantae; Streptophyta; Magnoliopsida; Malpighiales; Euphorbiaceae
Description: Eukaryotic small subunit ribosomal RNA
Rfam family: Eukaryotic small subunit ribosomal RNA
Source: Rfam by way of RNAcentral
CACGUGGUGGGCCUUGCAAAAUGCACCCUACUUGGGCUUGGGGACUAAAAGUUGUGAAAAAUCUUAUUAGUAUUAGCCCACUUACAUAUGUGCCCAUCAUUUUUCUUCUUCACAAAUUAGGUCUAUAUACAAUAAAAGUGAUGCCUUGCUGCUUCUAUUAUCUAUUCUGUCUUCUUUCCUUUCCUAAGAUUCUUGAAUCUUCUCUGUGCCUUAUAUUUGGUAAGCACACGUCCAAUCCUGUAGCUAUUAUUCCUUCCUUCUCCACAAAAUCACAGGAUGAUAAUUUUUAUAUCUAUUUCUUGCCUUGGGAAUUAUACUUAUGAUGGCUAUGUAAGUUAGAGGUGAAAUUCUUAUAUUUAUGAAAGACGAACAACUGCGAAAGCAUUUGCCAAGGAUGUUUUCAUUAAUCAAGAACGAAAGUUGGGGGCUCGAAGACGAUCAGAUACCGUCCUAGUCUCAACCAUAAACGAUGCCGACCAGGGAUAGGCGGAUGUUGCUUUUAGGACUCUGCCGGCACCUUAUGAGAAAUCAAAGUCUUUGGGUUUUGGGGGGAGUAUGGUCGCAAGGUUGAAACUUAAAGGAAUUGAUGGAAGGGCACCGCCAGAAGUGGAGCCUGCGGCUCAAUUUGACUCAACACAGGGAAACUUACCAGGUCCAGACAUAGUAAGGAUUGACAGACUGAGAGCUCUUCCUUGAUUCUAUGGGUGGUGGUGCACGACCGUUCUUAGUUGGUGGAGCAAUUUUUCUGGUUAAUUCUGUUAACAAAUGAGACCUUAGCCUGCUAACUAGCUAUAUGGAGGUAUCCCUCUGUGGCUACCUUCUUAGAGGGACUAUGGCCUUCUAAGCCAAGGAAGUUUGAGGGAAUAACAGGUCUGUGAUGCCCUUAGAUGCUCUAGGCUGCACGCACGCUACACUAAUGUAUUCAACGAGUCUAUAGCCUUGGCCGACAAGCCCGGAUAAUCUUUGAAAUUUCAUCUUGGUGGGGAUAAAUCAUUGCAAUUGUUAGUCUUCAAUGAGGAAUUCCUAGUAAGCUUGAGUCAUCAGCUCGCGUUGACUACCUCCCUGCCCUUUGUACACACCGCCCGUUGCUCUUACAGAUUGAAUGGUCCGGUGAAGUGUUCACAUUGUGGCGACGUAGGUAGUUCACCGUCGGCAACAUCGCGAGAAAUCCAUCGAACCUUAUCAUUUAUAGGAAGGAAAAGUCGUAAUAAGGUCUCUGUAGGUGAACCUGCGAAAGGAUCAUUA